GAUGAACGCUGGCGGCGUGCCUAAUACAUGCAAGUCGAGUGAACGGACGAGAAGCUUGCUUCUCUGAUGUUAGCGGCGGACGGGUGAGUAACACGUGGAUAACCUACCUAUAAGACUGGGAUAACUUCGGGAAACCGGAGCUAAUACCGGAUAAUAUUUUGAACCGCAUGGUUCAAAAGUGAAAGACGGUCUUGCUGUCACUUAUAGAUGGAUCCGCGCUGCAUUAGCUAGUUGGUAAGGUAACGGCUUACCAAGGCAACGAUGCAUAGCCGACCUGAGAGGGUGAUCGGCCACACUGGAACUGAGACACGGUCCAGACUCCUACGGGAGGCAGCAGUAGGGAAUCUUCCGCAAUGGGCGAAAGCCUGACGGAGCAACGCCGCGUGAGUGAUGAAGGUCUUCGGAUCGUAAAACUCUGUUAUUAGGGAAGAACAUAUGUGUAAGUAACUGUGCACAUCUUGACGGUACCUAAUCAGAAAGCCACGGCUAACUACGUGCCAGCAGCCGCGGUAAUACGUAGGUGGCAAGCGUUAUCCGGAAUUAUUGGGCGUAAAGCGCGCGUAGGCGGUUUUUUAAGUCUGAUGUGAAAGCCCACGGCUCAACCGUGGAGGGUCAUUGGAAACUGGAAAACUUGAGUGCAGAAGAGGAAAGUGGAAUUCCAUGUGUAGCGGUGAAAUGCGCAGAGAUAUGGAGGAACACCAGUGGCGAAGGCGACUUUCUGGUCUGUAACUGACGCUGAUGUGCGAAAGCGUGGGGAUCAAACAGGAUUAGAUACCCUGGUAGUCCACGCCGUAAACGAUGAGUGCUAAGUGUUAGGGGGUUUCCGCCCCUUAGUGCUGCAGCUAACGCAUUAAGCACUCCGCCUGGGGAGUACGACCGCAAGGUUGAAACUCAAAGGAAUUGACGGGGACCCGCACAAGCGGUGGAGCAUGUGGUUUAAUUCGAAGCAACGCGAAGAACCUUACCAAAUCUUGACAUCCUUUGACAACUCUAGAGAUAGAGCCUUCCUCUUCGGGGGACAAAGUGACAGGUGGUGCAUGGUUGUCGUCAGCUCGUGUCGUGAGAUGUUGGGUUAAGUCCCGCAACGAGCGCAACCCUUAAGCUUAGUUGCCAUCAUUAAGUUGGGCACUCUAAGUUGACUGCCGGUGACAAACCGGAGGAAGGUGGGGAUGACGUCAAAUCAUCAUGCCCCUUAUGAUUUGGGCUACACACGUGCUACAAUGGACAAUACAAAGGGUAGCGAAACCGCGAGGUCAAGCAAAUCCCAUAAAGUUGUUCUCAGUUCGGAUUGUAGUCUGCAACUCGACUACAUGAAGCUGGAAUCGCUAGUAAUCGUAGAUCAGCAUGCUACGGUGAAUACGUUCCCGGGUCUUGUACACACCGCCCGUCACACCACGAGAGUUUGUAACACCCGAAGCCGGUGGAGUAACCUUUUAGGAGCUAGCCGUCGAAGGUGGGACAAAUGAUUGGGGUGAAGUCGUAACAAGGUAGCCGUAUCGGAAGG
RNAcentral lists this ribosomal RNA (1504 nucleotides) under uncultured bacterium. Its description in RNAcentral is "16S ribosomal RNA". It matches the Rfam family "Bacterial small subunit ribosomal RNA". The record is from RNAcentral.